GACGAACGCUGGCGGCGUGCUUAACACAUGCAAGUCGAACGGAAAGGCCCUGCUUUUGUGGGGUGCUCGAGUGGCGAACGGGUGAGUAACACGUGAGUAACCUGCCCUUGACUUUGGGAUAACUUCAGGAAACUGGGGCUAAUACCGGAUAGGAGCUCCUGCUGCAUGGCGGGGGUUGGAAAUUUUCGGCGGUUGGGGAUGGACUCGCGGCUUCUCAGCUUGUUGGUGGGGUAGUGGCUUACCAAGGCUUUGACGGGUAGCCGGCCUGCGAGGGUGACCGGGCACAUUGGGACUGAGAUACGGCCCAGACUGCUACGGGAGGCAGCAGUGGGGAAUAGUGCACAAUGGGCGGAGGCCUGAUGCAGCAACGCCGCGUGCGGGAUGACGGCCUUCAGGGUGUAAACCGCUUUCGCCUGUGACGAAGCGGGAGUGACGGUAAUGGGUAAAGAAGCACCGGCUAACUACGUG
RNAcentral lists this ribosomal RNA (468 nucleotides) under uncultured bacterium. Its description in RNAcentral is "partial 16S ribosomal RNA". It matches the Rfam family "Bacterial small subunit ribosomal RNA", at positions 28 to 507 of the family's 1533-position model. The record is from RNAcentral.